This 66-nucleotide transfer RNA is filed under the name Helophorus sp. BMNH 724835. Its description in RNAcentral is "tRNA-Ser". Lineage: Eukaryota; Metazoa; Arthropoda; Insecta; Coleoptera; Helophoridae. The record is from RNAcentral.
AGUUAAUGAACUUGAAUAAGUAUAUAUUUUGAAAAUAUAAAAUAAAGUCUAAAUCUUUAUUAACUU